CAGCGCUUCGGCCGGGGCGUGGCCCCGUGCGGUCGAGGCGCGGGCCGAGGACGGGGCGGACGCGGUGGCGGCGCCGAUGCCGCCGGUGUCGGC
RNAcentral lists this transfer RNA (93 nucleotides) under Nonomuraea cavernae. RNAcentral describes it as "tRNA-Arg". The record is from RNAcentral. Lineage: Bacteria; Bacillati; Actinomycetota; Actinomycetes; Streptosporangiales; Streptosporangiaceae.